RNAcentral lists this ribosomal RNA (253 nucleotides) under uncultured bacterium. RNAcentral describes it as "partial 16S ribosomal RNA". It matches the Rfam family "Bacterial small subunit ribosomal RNA", at positions 524 to 776 of the family's 1533-position model. The record is from RNAcentral.
UACGUAGGGGGCAAGCGUUGUCCGGAUUUACUGGGCGUAAAGAGCGCGUAGGCGGAAGGUUAAGCGUGCCUUGAAAGCCCCCGGCUCAACCGGGGAAGGUGGGUGCGAACUGGCUUUCUUGAGGGCGAUAGAGGGGGGCGGAAUUCCUGGUGUAGCGGUGAGAUGCGUAGAGAUCAGGAGGAACACCCGUGGCGAAGGCGGCCCCCUGGGUCGGCCCUGACGCUGAGGCGCGAAAGCCAGGGGAGCAAACGGG